AUGAUUCUUCAGAGGCUCUUCAAGUUCUCCUCUGUCAUUCGGUCAGUAGUCUCACUCCCUUUGCAGAAGAACAUUGGUGUCACACAGUGGCAUUUAACAAGAAACUUGGUCCCAUACAGAAACUCUUCGUGGACAACAUUAGGGACUACAAAUCUAAGCCACAGGCAUCUGGAGGACCUGCUGAUACUGGCCCAGAGCACCAGCAAGAGUUGGAGAGUAAACUUCUGCUGAAAGCAGACAGGAAUAUGUUAUCUAAUUUCAAAUGCGAAGAUUCUAAAUUUGAAACCAUCGAAAAACCCCAGUC
RNAcentral lists this long non-coding RNA (304 nucleotides) under Homo sapiens (human). RNAcentral describes it as "non-protein coding lnc-ANKRA2-10:1". The record is from RNAcentral. Lineage: Eukaryota; Metazoa; Chordata; Mammalia; Primates; Hominidae.